Dermacentor andersoni is the source of this 945-nucleotide long non-coding RNA. RefSeq lists it as uncharacterized. The record is from RefSeq and is a predicted model, not a curated record. NCBI's taxonomy places the organism in Eukaryota, Metazoa, Arthropoda, Arachnida, Ixodida, Ixodidae.
UCGAACACUUGUCAUUCGAAGUGUACUUUCAGCCUGCACGAAGAGGUUGCAGAACUAAGCUUAUUUACGCCAGCGAAGAGCCCUAGCUCUCAUGGUUUAUAGUUUACGGAAAGGUAAGUCCCCUGAAGCCGGCACGUUGAGAUGUUGGCUGCGCUUGACAUACUCGUACAGCAAAUGACAGGUCCAGAGAAUUCAGUAGUGAAUACUCCUAAGUUAGAACAUCGAUGAAAAUCACAGCGAAUAACCUCGCCAUAGUCUCCCUCUCGUUGCAUUUCUAGUGAAAUUGUGCCACAUUUUUGCCUACCCCAGACUGCGUUUUGUUGACGUAGAACUCCUCACCCUUUGCUAGGGAACAUUUUAAAUGUCAGGCGACCCGCCGUGGUUGCUCAGUGGCUAUGGUGUUGGGCUGCUGAGCACGAGGUCGCGGGAUCGAAUCCCGGCCACGGCGGCCGCAUUUCGGUGGGGGCGAAAUGCGAAAACACCCGUGUACUUAGAUUUAGGUGCAUGUUAAAGAACCCCAGGUGGUCCAAAUUUCCGGAGUCCCCCACUACGGCGUGCCUCAUAAUCAGAAAGUGGUUUUGGCACGUAAAACCCCAUAAAAAAAAAAGAAAAAAUAAAUAAAUGUCAGGUACAAUGCGCUAAAGGUGACCAUUUCGUACAGCAGCCUUUUUGCUGCAAACUGACCGCAGAAUUCCCUUGAUCUAGCAGUAAUGCAACAAAAAUGAUAUCCCCGCAGGCGGAACGUUUUCGGCAGGGUCGGCAGGCGUAGGAAAUGCGGCUGUCGUGCAUGGAGGGACAACCACUGGCGGGACAUUUUCGGGCAUGUCCACUGGUGGCGGCUCUGCUAAUGCAGUGGCGGCAGGAGCUCUAGGUGGAGGGCCAGCCUCGACUCAUGCCGUGAGCGGCGUACAUUUACCUUCCCCUUCGAUGCCAAUACAGAGCGGC